This is a long non-coding RNA of Equus asinus (donkey), 14437 nucleotides long. Lineage: Eukaryota; Metazoa; Chordata; Mammalia; Perissodactyla; Equidae. The record is from Ensembl.
CUCUAAUGGAUCUAACAAGAGUUGUUGAUCUUCAGUUUUCUCAGCUUUUUUUCUUGUUGUGAGGAUGGUAGUGACAACUUCCAAGCUCUCUUUACAUGUUGGAUCAGAAACCAGAAGUUGGUGUCUUUUUAGUACAUCUUAGUUUGUGGACUGAGAUUUGUACCCACAUAGACUGAUCUCUAUGGGUAUUGUUGAAAAUUCCCUGGCAGCUAUUCAAUUCAUACAGUGGUCUCCCAGAUCUAGUUUAUAGGAACCUGAGGCAAAGGGACAUUUAAAGAAUGGACCUCACCUGUAUGUGACAAAGGUGUAGGGAAGACAGAAACAGAAUCUUGACAUGGAAUCUGGGUCUCUGAUCACCGAUCAGACUUCCCUGGGCAUAAUUGGGUGGUGGAUUUUUGGUUACCUGAGGACAUCCCUGUGUGUCCCUGCAGAGCACAGACUGAGAUUCAAAGUUUGAGUGAGCGCUGGAACAGUGGCCCAGUGGCCCCCUGUCUGCUGUGCCUUUGCAGUGGUUGAUAUGUAUAAAGGAAGAGGCUUUCAUGGGAGAAAUUAUUUUGUACAGGUCCUGGGAGAAAUUGGAAUAUGCCACUUGUCCCCAAGCUAGGACACAGGGAUGAUGUCUCAGAGAGAGUAGGUAAAAGAUGAAAAGACUUCAUUUGUGUGGCAUGGAGGAUGGAGCGCAAGCAGACCUGUUUCUAGCACACGUGGGCACUUGUCUCAGAGGUUUGCAUUUGAGCAGGAGGCUCGUGGUGUGGGUGAAUAGUGCCUCGAUGAUGGCACGUUGGAGGCUGUGUGAAGGGGGAGGAGAAUACCUUUUCUUCUCACCGUAUCACAGAGGGGUCCUCCUUCACGUCUGAGGGUAUUUCAAGCUUUACUCCACGCACCCCCAUUUUUGGUUAACACCUGAGUCACAAGUGUUUCUAAAGACCAGUCUGGCCACAACUAGAAGGACCUACAACUAAAAAUACACUACUAUGUGCUGGAGGGAUUUGGGGAGAAAAAAAAUCAGGAAAAAAAAAAAAAAGACCAGUCUCUUUUCCCUCUGCUGACAAAUUUCUAGGGGCAUCAGUCUGUUCAUCUGUCAAGAAUGUGGAGGAACAGACAUAGAAAUUGCGUUUUCCAACUGAACUGGCUGUUAAUAAUUGGUCUGGUACCAUAAGUCACUAUGUUCUAUUUAGUUAAGGAACUUAUCAGGACAAAAAGAAGGAGACUUCUUGGCCAGCAGUCUGUUUAUCUUAUAAAUUAGUCUGAGUAAAAGCUAAAAGAAAAGGUAGGGGUACAUGCUGUUACUCAGCCUGGAGACAUCUGGUCAUAUGCCGAGCCAAACCCAUGUCUGUGUUUCGGCUCGACAAGCUUGGUGCUGUUCCUUCCAUGGUAACGGUUACAGAAUGUCCUUGGGUGGUGCCCAUGGAAGCUGGCUUGAAAAAGGAUGUGGGAGAAUGAAGAGGCCAUCAUCUAUUUCUUCAUUGUUUGGUGCAUUCUUCAUCCUCAUGGGCAUUCUCUAUGUCAGGCGGCUGCUCAGGCGCAUUCCAGUUGUGAAUGGUCCUGAAUGACUUCGGUGACCUUUCAGAGGGAUCUCGGCAGUACACCCCAAAGCACAUGAUCCUUGAAGGCUUCCCAAAUCCGUUGGUGCCAAAAAGAACCCAGCAUUUGGUGACUGUGAGUGAUGCUGAUCGUUCUGAAGAGCUUAUUGUGCUGUACCAACCGUCGUUCUGAUAAUCUGUAUAAUGUCUUAUUUCCUCUGCCUGAAUCUAAGCUCCUUGAGGCCAUGUCUCUUCCAUUUCUGUAUUUACCAUAUAGCCCAAAACUCAUGCGAAUGCACACUGAUUUCAUUUCUUUCUCUGAUAAAGUGAAAGAACCCAAAUUGUAUCUAUUGACUCAUCCUUAGCUUCACACACAUGACUUUCAAAUUUUGUUUUUGCCUAGCGCUCUCUUUUGUAGGACUGAAAACAAUGGUUUUGCUAGUACUGUGCUUAGCCGAGCAUUAAUGGCUCACACCACUGGGGGAGACACAUGAGUUGAUCAGUCCUAUAGGGAGGCAUUCUGCCUGUAAUUGUCAGGAAGGGCCCGUGCUUCUUUCAAUGAUGGCUGUGUUGCUGCUAAUAAUGAACCAGUCCUUGCUCUUGCUUGUCUUGACUCAGAGGCUGGUGUCUAUACCAUGCUCCCUCUGCCUCUGCCCCCACCAGGAUUUAUAGGCAGGCAUGAGUCAUCUGACCACAGAAGGUGGCAUUUCCAUAGCAGGACAAAGAUUAGCUGGCAUGCUUUGGGUCACCUCACGGUGCUAAUGUCCUUCCGUGGAGAUGGGUCACGUACAGCAAUUGAAGUGAACUUGAGCCCCUCCUGGGCGUUGGUCUUUCACAGGGACAGACUGUGGAUAUCUGUCAAUUCUUUUGGAUAUAUUCCCAUCUGUAAGGGCAGAUAAGGGAUAAUAAGUUACUGACCUCAAGUUCUCUUCUUUUUGAUUUCACUACUUUGCUCCUUAAAUAGGAAUUGCUCAAACUUGGCUUCUCAAGAAUUUGCCCAAUGUUACCGGCUAGGGGUGUUUCCUUGGCUUAGAACCCCUUCCCCCACGUUAUUUCUCUGGCUAGCUUCUACCCUUUCUAUAGAGCUCGGCAGAGACAGCACCUCCUUUCUGAAAACUCCCCCAAUCCCAGGCAAGGUGAAAGCCUGAAAAUUGUUUUAUUUUUUUUUAAAUUGUGGUAAAAAGCAUAUAACAUAAAUUUACCCUCUUAAUUUCAUUUUUUAUUAUUUAUUUAUUUUAAAGCUUGGCACCUGAGCUAACAUCUAUUGCUAUUUUUUUUCUUCUUCUCCCCAAAGCCCCCCACUACAGAGUUGUACAUUCCAGUUGUAGGUCCUUCUGGUUGUGCUAUGUGGGACGCCGUCUCAGCAUGACUUGAUGAGCAGUGCCAUGUCCACACUCAGGAUCUGAACUGGUGAAACCCUGGGCUGCCUAAGUGGAGCGUGCGAACUUAACCACUCAGCCACGGGGCCAGCCCCUACCCUCUCAAUUUUAAAUGUAUAGCACAGUACGACUAUCUGUGCACACUCUUGCACAGCACAUCUCCAGAACUUUUGCAUCCGGGAGACUGGAACUCUACCCAUUAAACUGUACCAACUUCCCCUUUUCCCCUCCCCCCAGCCCCUGGAGACUUCCUUUUGAUUUCCUGUUUCUGUGAAUUUGUCUACUCUAGAUACCUCAUAUAAGGGGAAUCAUGUAACAUUUGUCUUUUUGUGACUGGCUUAUUUCACUCAGCAUGAUGUCCUCCAGGUUCAUCUAUGUCAUGGCAUAUGACAGGAUUUCCUUCUUUUUUAAGGCUGAAUAAUAUUCCAUUAUAUGCCUAUAUGACAUCCCACAUCUUAUCCAUUCCUCCCUUGAUGGUCACUUGAGUUGCUUCCACCUCUUGGCUAUUGUGAAUAAUGCUGCAAUGAACAUAGGGGUGCAAACAUCUCUUCCAGAUCCUAUUUUCAAUUCUUUUGGAUAUACACCCAGGAGCGGGAUUAUUGGAUCAAACGGAAGGACCUCCAUACUGUUUUCCACAGCAUCUGCACCAUUUUACAAUCCCACCAACCCUGAAAAGGCUUGGAUUGCAGCACUACCACACUGUUUGAGAGGUCUGUUUCCUUGGCUUCCUCCUUCGCUCUUUGCUGAGCAUCCUCAGGCAUGAAUUUUGACUUUUUAUGUUCGUACUCCCAGAGCCUAGCACAGAGCCUGCUCAUAAUGGGCACUAAAACUUUUUUAGGAAGAGAGAGCAAUGUAAAACCCAAUUCAAGUCUCACUGAGGCUGACUAUUAGGAUCACCUUAAAAAUGCUCUACUUUUUCAGAAUUCCUGUUGUAGUCCGAGUUAAUACCCAUGGUUUGGCACAAAUGGCUCCCUAGUUGUUUGUGUGCCUUAUCUCUUCAGAUGGGCUGUAAGCUCAUCCAGAGCAGAAUUGAUUCCUUAAACUUGUCAUACAUCCCUUGAUGCCUCUCUCACUGUGUACAAACUACAUGAUGGAUCUCUCUGCCUUUGUCCUCAAGACACUGUGUCUUACUCGCCUUACUUUCUCUGUCAUUUGACAUAGUGCCUGGCACAUAAGUGGUGAUCAAUAAUAUUUGUAUUUAUUGAAUAAGUAGUAGAUUCUGGAGCCAUGGGGAGCUAAGCUCAAGAUCAGUUUUCCAGUGAAAUCUUGCUCAAUGUUCCCAUGAAGCUCUCUUUCUCUGUAGGUGUGAAACGCUUAUCAGCAUAGGCUACCUUGAAACGUCAAAUCUGGCAUCUCCAGAAAGCAGCCCAUAUACUCUCCUGGGGCCAGAACAGCUCUGAAACUAAAAGGAAACUAAGCAUCUCAUCUCAAAGCAACUUUUCAUGCUGUUUUAUUGUUCACCACCACCCAGAAGCCUGCGCUUCAGCAAAGUCAGUCUUGUGAUGAAGGGUAGAAGUCAGGAGUUGUGUACAAUUGGAUCUGAUUUCUUCCUGAUUCGAGUUCUGGAUUCCUUUCAUAGUCCUUUCUGGAUUUGAGUUCUGGAUUCCUUUCAGAUUCCUUCCUGGAUUUGAGUUUUAGAAGCCUUGGCUUCUUGAGGGGAUUACGCCAUAGGCAGUAGAGAGAAGCUGUUGCCUUUGAGAGAAGGAUAAUUACUCAGGAUUUGGAAAGGGACAGGAAUCUGUGGAUCUCAUGAAUGGGGGGCCCUGGUCUUCUCUCUCUGGCAACAUCCAGAAAGGUGGGGAGGCCACUGAGGGGAAUGGCUAUGUGGUGUACCAUGGAGGCUGGACCCCAGCAGCUUGAAGCUACCAUCUUGCUGCAGAUUCCUCUGCCUGAGCUUGGCGAGGAAGCCACAGGCUGCCAGACUUCAGUGGGCCAUGUGGGUGUGAACAGAUGAAUGUUUUCUUCUGUGCGCCUUUUUAUAAACUUGGAGAAGAUGUUGAACAGGAGGAAGCACCACAAUUUGACUCUUCACCAUCUUAGUGACUUGGAGUUGACUUUGAUUUAAGAAAAUAAAGUAAUGUGAUGAUUCAUAGAUGCCUAGAUUACGAGACUAAGAUUUAUUCCCAGCACGUGAGUGAGGCAUCUGGCACGGUUCCUGGAUGUUUAAGGGACUUGACAAAGAUUAUUUUCCUUCACCUUUAUUUGUAGGGAAUGGUCCACGCAUACUCUUUGAUUGUUUGAGAUACAUCCUGAAAAAAUAUUGAGUGUUGAUCAAAAUUUGGGGGAAAAAUUGACUUCUUUUAAACGUACUAGGGAAGCACCUCAUUUCUUAAAGUGAGGAAUUCUUGUUGAAGAAUUCUUGUUUAAACGGAAUUCUGCUAAUCUGGGGUUUCAGAUAGUUCACUUAACGUGAUAACAAGGAGAUUACAGAAAGCUGUCUUUUAUUCUUUUUUUUUUGAAAAGCACUGCUUAUGUGACUGUGAGUGAUAACCUGACUCAGCAGGACAAUGAGUCUGCCUUAAAGAGCAGCUCAGCUCCAAGGUCUCACCCGGGAAUUGCUGUGUCAUGGGGGUAGGCCGCAGAGGAAAUAGAGUUCUGACUUAUCACAUCACUCCAUCUUGAUAAGGGGAGCCACACUUCAAAUCACUCCUUCUGUUAUGAUGAAGCUGCAGGAAAUGAGAGACCUCCUGAUUCCAGUGCCAAGAGCUGGGCUGAGGGUCACUUGCUUUGCUAUCUGCCCUAAGUGGUUAACGGCUGACCAACCUCGGAAGUUCCUCAUGACGCAGUUUAGCGACUGGAUUGUCAUUGUGCUUUCUCUACUUCCUCAUGGGAGAGGAAUAGAGAAGAGUGCUAGUUUUAUUAUUUGUACAAAGCUGACAUACUUAGUCUUUUCCCAUACCUGUCUUCCCUUCGGGUAGGAAGCCAAAGCAAAAAACAAAAAAAAAGAAGAAUCUUGGUUUUAAAGUGGUCCUUUCUUGGCUUCUGAACUGGAGAAGUCAUCUGUGGAACUCAGAAAAAACCUAGGGUGGCUGGAAGGGCUUUUGGAUAUCCUACAUGCCAGUACUUUCUUCAUGGGUAAAAAGGAAGCUCAAGGUGAUGUGACAUUGGGACACGCCGCAGGUAACAGUAGGACAGGGCUGAGAUUGCAAUCAGUCCUCCUGAUGACUGGGCCAGCACAUGUUGUCAAAAUCAAGCAUAAGAAUGGCCUUGGAAAGCACAAAUAUUUGGUUUUUAACGACUAUUUACUCAUUAUCUUUUUUUUUUUUUUUAAAACCAGCUUAACAUCUUUAAGGAUUUAUGGACUGCUAUAGUCUUAUAAGAGUAAUAAAUAUGUUAUAUAUUGUGUUGACUCAUUUACAAAGCUAGCAGAAACCUAAUACAAAAAAGAAGAAGAAAAAAGAGAUAAAAGUCUAGACUGGUUUCCUUUAUAAAUAGAGAAGUGAAAAUUCUAAUAAAAAUAUGAUUAGAUGGGACCACAUUGCAUUAUUGCUCCAUGCAAUGAUAGUUUAGUAUUAAAGAAUGCAAUGAAGGUUUAAUAUUAAAAGUUUUAUUAAGUUAAAUAUCACAUAGAUGGGUUCAGCACAAAAAGCUCAUGACUUCCGUAAACACUGAAAUAGCGUUUAUUUACUCUUAAUUACAAGAAAAGAAAUCAGGAAAAUGAGAAGUAAGCGGUUACAGUGAGUCCUUGCCCGUGCGCGGGGAGCAGAGUGAAGUGACCCAGGUGCACGGCCAUGCCCUGUUUUCCAUUCGCUGCUGGCUGGACUCGAAUGAAAAGGAAAGUCCAGAGGAGGACAGAACCACAAGAUGGCAGGAUCCUGGGUCCCUGAACUACCUCAUGCUCACGGACAAUGAGCACUUACUUCAAUCAGUUUACUGAACAAACAGUAAAGCUGUGUUAUGUUUGAGACACUGUGCAUUUCAGUCUGGUCCACGCAUCCCCACAGCUUAGCCUACUCUGGGCUGCAUCCCGCGUCAUCCUUCAGGCCUCUGUUCCAAUGCUCUGAUCUGCUCUCUUCUGUGUUCGGAGGUCCUUUUAUUGUGGGCUGCUGCUUUUCCUGGUGACUCUACCUGUGGGUUUCUUGGAGGCCUGGGCUGAAGUGUAUCUGUCUAGAGAACGUCUGCUUCUGCCAGCUGCCCGGGAGUGCUACCAACCCUGACCGCUUUAAAUUAAAGAUCCAAAUGAGUCUUUUCAGAGGACACAGUGCCAAGAUCAAGAUAAGCAAGUUCUGUGCCCUUUUUUUCAGGUGAAUCAUUGAACAAAUGCUUCAUCAUAUCCUGAAGAUAAAUUCCCGGAAGCGGAAUUGCUGGAUCAAAGGUUAAGCGUUGUUAAGCUGCAGGACUAGACUGCCUGGCUGAAAGGGCUCACGUGGGUUAGUCACCAUCACAUAAGAAGAAGUCUGACCUGGAAGCAGGGGCUUCCAUGGUCAGUUCCCGCCCCAAUGAAGUCACGAAGGACCAGGCUCUCCCUUCUUCCGGCUCUGCCAUCUUUCGUGUGUUGGCGAUGUCUCCUGUCCCAGGAGUUUUGUGCUGGCAUCUAUGGAGCUACAUCUGGCUGACUUGUUAGCUUGCAGGGGUAAAAUCUCAAAUAUCUUCACAGAUUUUGACAGUUUUGAUGAUGAAGAUGGGCGGCUGACAGAGACACGGCUUUCUGGAAUCGAAAGGCUGAAGGCCUCGUGAACUGACUAACAGGAUUUGACAGAAGUCCGUAGAAUCAGUAGAAAAAUGGAAGAGGAAAACCUUUGAGCUUGGUCUAUGGACAUAUCAGUGCGGUGUGUGGGUGCAAAGCCCAAGUGGCCUGUAGCUAUGCUGUAGCAUGUGAGGAGUGGCCUUGAAAGACAGCAGUGAGGGGCGAUCCUCCCCAUGGGCAGAACUUUGCGUGUUAAACCUGUUUGCCUACUUUGUGCUGAAGGAGAAGUGGCCCGAGGUUAAAAUACGUGUGGACUCGAAGUGGCAAAUGGCAUGACUAGCUAGUCAGGAGAAGAAGAGAGAGAGAGACCGGAAGACUGGGGACCAGAAUUUUGGGGUAGAGGCAUGAGGAUGCACAUGUGAGAGUGGAACGAAGUGUGAAGAUAAUUUUCUCACAUGUUAGCACCCAACAGGGAACGUCCACCAUGGAACAGCCAUCAGUGAUUUGGCCAGUUGACACUGGUCAACCUCAGUGCAGGUCAACCACAAUUGGCACAUGGACAGGGUAGCCAUGUGGCAGAGAGGGAGGCUAUGCAUGGACUCAUAAUUACAGACUCCCUCUUACCAGGGCUGUUGUAGCUACUGUGACUGUCAAAUGUUCAACCUGCCAGCAACGGAGACCAACGCCCAGCCCCUGAUUAGGUGUUACACCUUGAGGAGACCAACUGGCCGCUUGGUGGCAAGUUUACUACGUUGGGCCCCUUCCAUCACAGGAGGGCUGGAGGUUUGCCUGAUAGGAAUAGACACAUACUGCAGGUACAGGUUCGCCUGUGUUCUCGCAGAGCUUCAGGUAGUAUCGCUAUUUGAGCAUCCCACGGUAGGUGGCUAUUUCUAUGAAUGUUUGUGUACAUUUUUUGUGUGUGGACAUAAAUUUUCAUUCCUCUGCAAUAAAUGCCCAGGAGCACAAUUUCUAGGGCAUGUGGUAAGUGAAAGAUAUUUUUCCUAGCUAUAGGACAGCACCGUGGGCCCUUCACCCUAAAUCCACUUCCUGAAGAAUCAGCGCUGUGGACAGGGGUGCGUCCUCCUGGAGUUUCUGUGCCAUCUCACUCUGGGGGACGGGAUGGGUGCAGGGCUCCUUCAGCGGGGAGGAUCCCUGAGGGCGUCUGGAGGACCCCCCCAUCCAUGUCCUCACUGGGCCACCUGCCCCUUUCAAGCCUGGCCCGGUGGGCAGGUGUGUCUUGCAGUCGCCCCAAGGAUUCCUCUGUGAAGGAACCCCCUAAUGGCAGAGUGAGGAGUUUGGAGAUCACACUGCCUGCCUUCUUUCCUUUUCAUGGUAGGCAUGCCAUGAUGGCCCUGAGGUUCGACGACAGCCCAAUUGGCUGACAGUUUUGUCUCUUGGAAGCUCAGAUAGGAGCAAAAAUUCAGAAGGACGUGAGUUCUCCUGCCUGUCUCCAGAGCCAUGCUUCAGCCUCCGCUAGCAGACCGUGGCCGGCCACAUUCCUGCCGACAGUCCCUGUGAUGUUUUGACUUGAUGCUCAUUCCAUGCUCAUGCCUGACCACUAGGUUCCGUCUGCUGUGGCUUCAGAAUGAUUGAUGUCACUUCUUCCACUGUGGAAAAAUCUCAGGAGCCUCAAAGAUCAAGGGCCGAAAGGAAAGCAUGUGGGAGGCCACUGACAGUUUGUGUAGAGGGGAAAAACAUUAUUCACAGCAGGCAGUCCAUCCUGGGGCUGUGGACUCGGGCCAUUGCACGGAGCUCCGGCUUUGCGGUGAAACGGGGAUGUGUCAUGCACAAGCACGACCAAGACCGGCGAAGGUGUGGAGGCCGAGGGAGAUUUUCCAAGGCUGCCUCCAUGUGCUUGGUCGUCACUCCACUGCAGGCGUGGUCCACCGCCCGGCCUUUUGCCAUCUGAGACCCAUAUUUCCCACUGUGUCUAGCACGAUGCCUGACAACAGGCUUUCCACCAUCCGGGACAUCCACCCUGCUCCUGCUCAUUCUCUUUUGCUGACUACUCUCCUGCUUCCUGACUUCUUCUCACAGAGCGAAGAACACGGAAAUCAGCCGUCAUCACGAGCAGUUUACACUGACCCUGCCCUGCUGAGUUCUUCCGCACGUGGACACACACGCUUGAACACAUCUUCUUGUGUAGUUGAGAUCACGUAGCACGGAUCAUGCUUUUCCACACAUCAUGUUUCAGAUACAGACCUAAGAUGGGGACCACAGCAACAUCAAACAGAUGGCAUACGUGCAGUGGAACGAAGGCUGCGGUCUGAACCUGUCUUCUCAGCAGGAACAUUCUGGCCCAGAACCUUCCCCUUCUCACUGCUGUCAGCCGAGUGGGCAAGUAAAUAUACGCAUCUGUGACGUUUAGAGGGAAUUUGAACAAUUUCCACAAGUCACUUUUUGGAAGACUGUUUUUCCUAUGAAUUUUAACACAAAAUGUACAAACCAGCUUACUAACUCUACUUUUGUAGGCACUGGCAACCUCUUUAACAUCUAGAAAGACUGGGUAUUAUAAAAUUAGGACUCACUUGUCCCUGAUAUAAACUAUAUGCACAGCAAAGGAAAACGAAAUGCAGACCCACGGGACAGUGGUCAAGCUCGCCUUACGACAGACACGUUGGCACAGAGCCCUCUGCUCUUCCCUCUCAUCUGUCUUCUCUCAAACCGGGACACAAAGGCAAUGUGCCCUGUCCAAAGAGGCCGUUCCAUUUCCUAAGGACACUGCUUCUAAUGAAUCUUAACAAAAAGACAUUUAGAAAAUGUGUCACUUUACUGCUGUGCUUUUCACAUUUUUCAGGUACUUUAGAGCAUCAGGAAAGAUCAGAUAUCUCAAAAAAGUACUUGUUGUGGUCAACUCCAUGUGCCUUAGUGAAGAAUAAAAUGGGCAUGCAGAACAAGGGUUAUAGGGUGAAGAUGUCUUCUAAAUAGGACUUCUGUGGCACAGACCACUUCUGAACUCUGAGCUCAGCUGUAGCCCAAAUUCUGGAGCUUUCACAGACCCCCUAGAGCUCAUUCUAGAGGUUCCUUCUAGAGGGUCACAGAGUUCAGGCUAAGAUUUUUAUGCACUUCUUACUCCUUCCACAAUGGAUUCGCUAAAGGAGAGAAGGCCUCCAGCUAACCCUUUUAGUGCUUUCCAACUGGGGCUCUGCCUUGGAGAAGUGCAUUUCCAGUUAUUGAGCCAUCGUUUUGCCCUGGGUCUCCUCCCAGGAGAGAAAAGCGUUUGACUCCCAAGGUUCCCGGCAUUUUUGAAAGAACUCUAAGCCACAGCCAGCUUUACCCUGGCAAGUCAUUCCAUCCCCUUUCUUUCCCUCUUUCCUUUCCCAUGGAACGACUCCUUCCAUCUGUCUUUCAAACUCUGCUUUAUAAAUAGGAAUUCAAGUUUUAUUUUCUUCUUGAAUGCACUCUCUCCGUGAAAGAGGCUUUCCACCAAGAAUGUGGUGUCUGAUCGCUAUCUUGCCAACGGGUUUAACAAAGAUCUCCAUGGUGGGUAAACUUUUUACAGAUCUAUUCACACAUGCCUCUUCUUCUCGCACUUGGCUAAAACCAACAACACAUUCAUCAAAGAAGAAGGGGUGAAAAAAUCCUUCUCCAAGGUAAUUGAGAAAUAACUUUGACAGAAUUUGAUAAAAUUAUCUCCAUUUUCCAUCUGGUUUUUCUGGAAGGCAUUAAUUCAGAUAGACACUGAGCACAAAGCAGGUCAUAGAUCUACAUAUGUGAAAAGUAUAAGUGAAUACAUCUACUCAGGCUAUUUAUCACCAAAUGUUCAAUAAUCUGAAGUUCGAAAAACUCAGCUAAUAACUGGUAUGUGCUGAAAGUUUUCAAAAAACUAAGAGCAUCUAGCUCGAGAGAAGACCAACGACACAGAAACUCAUUCAGGAGAAUUUAAAACAGAAGAGGAGGAAAGUGCGCACUGGAGACUGUACCUACUGACAAGAUCGGGCUGGUUGGCAUGCACCCCUGACAGCUUAAACACUGGACAAAUGGGAAGCAGCUGCCCAGCCCAGAGGCCUCCUGUGGAUUACGUUCAUCUGUGCGGCAAACAGCAACAGCUCUGUUAUAUUCUUUCUAAGCCAGGGGUUCUCACUUUGACCACAUGUUAGAAUCGUCAGUGGAGCUUAAAUGCCCCAUAGCAGAGUCUCUGGGUACGGCCGUGUAUCAGCAUGUGUAUUUUAAGCUGCCCAGGUAAUUCCAAUAUGCUGGCAAGGUUGAGAACUCCUUGAUGAAAAUUCAUAAUUUAUUAAGCACCUCUCAUGUGUCAGGCACGUGUCCGGUACUGUGUCAGAUGCUGUUAUGGACUGAACAUUUAUGUUGCCCCCAAAUUCAUAUGUCAAUGAAGGUUUUGGUGAUGGAAUUUGGAGGUGGGAUCUGAGGGAGGUGAGUAGGUCAUGAGGGUGGAGCCCCCAUGUUGGGAUUAGCGCCCUGAUAAGAAGAGCUACUAGAAGCUUGCUUCUUCUCUCUACUCUCCACCACGUGAAGACACAACAAGACAGACGAGGGCCAUCUGCAAAUCAGGACGCGGCUCUCACCAGACUCUGGAUCUGCUGGCACCUGGGUCUUGGACUUCCAGCCUCCAAUAGAGUCACCACCCAAGCAAACCUGAAGAUUGUGUAGCCACCCAAUUCUGUGUAUUUCCCAGAGCCAGAAGCUGCACAGCAGCCAUGGAAAGACUGAAGUUUGGCGCCAGUUUUGGCUCUGCCGUUAAUUCAUUCAGGACAACCUCGACACUGGUCUGGAGAGAAAGCUGGAUCCUGUGCAAAUAACUAGAGCGCAGCUAAGGGGAAGUAAAACGUGCUACUGAGGCAGGAAACGUCGGCACGUCACACAGCCUAUGCUGGACAGUCAAGGAGGGAUGUGUGAAAAGAAGCUUGUGUCUCCAGUAAAUGCAACCCAACAAGGUGGAAACCACUACUGUCACUGCUUUACUGAUGAAGAAAAACUCGGGUUCUAGGAGGACAAAUAGCUCAGUGAAGCCUGGGGAGCAGCGGUCCCAAAGCUCUGAUUCCUACACGUUUUCCUGCUGAGUCACACCGGCUGCUGAGACGUCGCCAGAGGACCUGACAGCCCCUUUAGGACUUGGACUCUAUUCUGCAUUGCUGGACGAUAAGCAGCUUUUUUCUUAUCAGUUCUUAAGAAAUGUGCAGCUUACACUGAUUAAAGGUGAGGAAGCCAGGGACAUCGUGAGCACUGCGCAGCCCCGAGGGUGGCUCUCAUACCUAAAGUGAUCACUCACCUCUGUGCCGGAACAUCUAGUUUCCAGCAAUUUGCAGACGGUAAACACCCAGAGGCAGAGCCGGGGCGGAGGAGGGGCUCAGCUUCUCCAGGACACUGUAAUCAAACCCACACUGAGGAAUUUGCUGCCAGCCACUUCGUCAAAACCAGACAAGGCUGCCUCCUGGGCGAUGUCUUCUACUUGGAAACCAGGAAAGGAGGCAAGGGGUUCUAGCGUGUUCUCUUUAUAGAAGGAUCCAAGUGGCUUGAGUGUACCAUCUGAUACCCCGAGUCUGGCUUAGCAUCCAGGUCUCCAUCACUGCUCUGCUGCCCUCAGAGCUGCCUAGGGUCACUGGACCACCCAGCUCACUGCUGACAUUAGGGGGAGUCUCAGAUGGGACCUUUGAUAGCCACAGAAAAGGCUUCUCACCACGCUAGUGGCUUGAGCGAAGCUGGGAGAGGUAAUAUAUGGAUAUUUCAUAUAGAAUACCGGCGAUUUUUAUCUGUGGACAUCUUAUUAUUGCACCCAGCGCACUGUAUUGCAAUCCAGUGUUUAUCUCCCCGAGUGGAAUGGAAACAGCUAUAGGGCUUGAAUUAUGCAAAUUUAUUUUUGUGUCCUCAGUGCCUGGGACAUGAUUGGUGUUCAGUAACUGCUUGAAUGAAUGAAUCAGUAAUGAUUAGCCUCAGCAAUACUUUGUUCUUAAAAUGAGACACACAAAUAUUUAUUUUUUCUAAAGUACAGUUUCUAGGCCAACAGAGAUGUGUGAUAAGAAGGCUUCUGAGAAGAGUCUUCAUGAUUUUAUAGUCUUCAUGGUGAGAGAUAAGACACAAAGGUACACAUGAAGGAAAGAGAAGACACCAGGCUACAAAAGCCAAAAGCCGGAAAAAAAAAAAACACCCACCAAACCCCCAAAUAAACCCCUCUCCCUCCCAAAAAAACCCAAAAAAGCAGACUGUCUAGUAAAAAGUACCCACAGAUUCUGAUAAUCCAGCCACGAUGGUCACAGUUUUAAUAGUAAGAAUAAAAAGUACACACUUCUUCCCUUUCCUUGCCAAGGUUGAAGGCAGAAUCUUUACCAUUGUGAGGGAGAGAGCGUGAUACUGGACGGAAACUGAGGCGGGCAACAGCUAGAGGCCUUGCUCAAAUUGUCCCAAAGGUCAGAUAAAAAAUUCUCUGCAGUGCCAAAUUCUUUGCCGGUGGACUUUUUUCCAUACUGAUUGCUGAAUAAGGUGCAGAUUUGCUUGUCCUGGAAGUAGUUUUCUUUCUGGCAAAUCUGUGCAUUUAGGCAACUCUGUGUUUGGCCGUCUCUCACUUGCACUUUUUUGAGCUGUUCUCCUUGUUUGUGUCCUGGCCACCCCCCCACCCAAGGCUUCACUGCUCCCCUUCUGGCAGGUCCUCAAAUCACAUACUGACAAUACCUUAAGUGUUAAUUACCCCGUGCAGCUGGCCUUUUAACCAGGGAACUCCCACACCUUGAAGAUCUUUCUGAUCCAGGAUGUUGACUAAACUCAGUGUGGUCAUCAUUUGACCAUCUGUACAUAUAUCAAAUCAUUAUGUUGUACAACUAAGACGGAUACAAUGUUAUCUGUCGAUUACAUCUCAGUAAAAAUACAAGCAAAUAAGAUGUUUAAUAGUAAAAUGUUAAGGUGGGUGGGUGGGAAGGCAGAAAUUUUGGAAGAGGGCGUUUGCCUGAUGUUUU